AAAAUGACUCUCGGCAACGGAUAUCUCGGCUCUCGCAUCGAUGAAGAACGCAGCGAAAUGCGAUACUUGGUGUGAAUUGCAGAAUCCCGCGAACCAUCGAGUCUUUGAACGCAAGUUGCGCCCAAAGCCUUUUGGCCGAGGGCACGUCUGCCUGGGUGUCACGCAACAA
RNAcentral lists this ribosomal RNA (169 nucleotides) under Croton wilsonii. Its description in RNAcentral is "5.8S ribosomal RNA". It matches the Rfam family "5.8S ribosomal RNA". Rfam says of the family: 5.8S ribosomal RNA (5.8S rRNA) is a component of the large subunit of the eukaryotic ribosome. The record is from RNAcentral. Lineage: Eukaryota; Viridiplantae; Streptophyta; Magnoliopsida; Malpighiales; Euphorbiaceae.